This 290-nucleotide ribosomal RNA is filed under the name uncultured bacterium. RNAcentral's name for it is "partial 16S ribosomal RNA". It matches the Rfam family "Bacterial small subunit ribosomal RNA", at positions 62 to 353 of the family's 1533-position model. The record is from RNAcentral.
UCGAACGGCACCCCUCUCCGGAGGGAAGCGAGUGGCGAACGGCUGAGUAACACGUGGAGAACCUGCCCCCUCCCCCGGGAUAGCCGCCCGAAAGGACGGGUAAUACCGGAUACCCCCGGGCGCCGCAUGGCGCCCGGGCUAAAGCCCCGACGGGAGGGGAUGGCUCCGCGGCCCAUCAGGUAGACGGCGGGGUGACGGCCCACCGUGCCGACAACGGGUAGCCGGGUUGAGAGACCGACCGGCCAGAUUGGGACUGAGACACGGCCCAGACUCCUACGGGAGGCAGCAUG